RNAcentral lists this transfer RNA (72 nucleotides) under Stathmonotus gymnodermis. RNAcentral's name for it is "tRNA-Asp". Lineage: Eukaryota; Metazoa; Chordata; Actinopteri; Blenniiformes; Labrisomidae. The record is from RNAcentral.
AAGACACUAGUAAAAUCUAUAUUAUAAUGCUUUGUCAAAGCAUCGUCGUGAGUUGAACCCUCGCGUGUCUUA